RNAcentral lists this ribosomal RNA (497 nucleotides) under uncultured bacterium. RNAcentral's name for it is "partial 16S ribosomal RNA". It matches the Rfam family "Bacterial small subunit ribosomal RNA", at positions 28 to 507 of the family's 1533-position model. The record is from RNAcentral.
GAUGAACGCUGGCGGCGUGCCUAAUACAUGCAAGUCGAGCGAACAGAUGAGGAGCUUGCUCCUCUGACGUUAGCGGCGGACGGGUGAGUAACACGUGGAUAACCUACCUAUAAGACUGGGAUAACUUCGGGAAACCGGAGCUAAUACCGGAUAAUAUAUUGAACCGCAUGGUUCAAUAGUGAAAGACGGUUUUGCUGUCACUUAUAGAUGGAUCCGCGCCGCAUUAGCUAGUUGGUAAGGUAACGGCCUACCAAGGCAACGAUGCGUAGCCGACCUGAGAGGGUGAUCGCCCACACUGGAACGGAGACACGGUCCAGACUCCUACGGGAGGCAGCAGUAGGGAAUCUUCCGCAAUGGGCGAAAGCCUGACGGAGCAACGCCGCGUGAGUGAUGAAGGUCUUCGGAGCGUAAAACUCUGUUAUUAGUGAAGAACAAAUGUGUAAGUAACUAUGCACGUCUUGACGGUACCUAAUCAGAAAGCCACGGCUAACUACGUG